CUGCCGCCGGCGACCGGCGCACGGGUGAGUAACACGUAUGCAACCUGGCCGUGACAGAUGGAUAACCGGGAGAAAUCCCGCCUAAUACAACAUAAUGCCGGGAGGGGACAUCCCCUGCCGGUCAAAGGGGGCGACCCCGGUCACGGAUGGGCAUGCGGCGCAUUAGGUAGUUGGUGGGGCAACGGCCCACCAAGCCGACGAUGCGUAGGGGUUCUGAGAGGAAGGUCCCCCACAUUGGAACUGAGACACGGUCCAAACUCCUACGGAAGGCAGCAG
This 276-nucleotide ribosomal RNA is filed under the name uncultured bacterium. Its description in RNAcentral is "partial 16S ribosomal RNA". It matches the Rfam family "Bacterial small subunit ribosomal RNA", at positions 82 to 354 of the family's 1533-position model. The record is from RNAcentral.